Molecule: long non-coding RNA, 975 nt
Organism: Hydra vulgaris (swiftwater hydra)
Lineage: Eukaryota; Metazoa; Cnidaria; Hydrozoa; Anthoathecata; Hydridae
Source: RefSeq, a predicted model, not a curated record
CCAAUUUGUGAACAAGUAAAAAUAAAAUCAGGUAAAAAAAGAUUUUUUUUUUCUAUAAUAAUAUAGACUUGCCAUGGGUAUACACAUACUAUUUUGAAACUCUUGAAUCAUUAUCAGUUUUUGAACGUUUAUUCAAAGAUUGUCUAAAGGUUUUUUGUGUAACCAGUUUAUAAUUUUGCAACAGAUCAUUGAAAGAUUUUAAGAGAAAGUACAAAAAACUUGUUCAAAGUGAAAAAGGUUUUGUUCUCUCCGAGUUUUUAACUCUUUAAAAACUAAGAUGUUAUUUUGCUCUCUAACGAGACACCGACCAAUGUGGCAAGGUCAAUUGUUCGCUCAGGCUGUAAAAGAAACUUUACAGAAAACUAAAUAGAAAGGGAAAGCUUUUAAUAAUUUUUUUGCAAUAAGUCCUAAAAGUAUGAUUAGACAAGUAAUCAAGACAUCUGGCUUAACAAGAUCAGUUAAAUAAUUUUCAGUUUACAAAAACACGGCCAAAAAUAAUUACGUUGGAAAUAUUUUGAUUAUGUUUAUUCGCGAAUAGCACGUUUUAUAUUUGUUCACAUUUUAAAUGUGAACAAAUAUAACUUCUAUAUCAUGAAAAAUAAUUUCUAUCGAAAUAAGUCAUUUAUUUCGUUAUUUAAUUUUUAGAUUAAAAUUUUUUUCAAUAUUUAGUCUUUUCGAACUAAUCUAAAAUACUUCGAAAUGUUGAUUCGAAACCUGAUUCAAAUCGCAAAUUGAGACCUGCUUUGAUUCAAGAUUCGAUUCGAAACAAAAAUUCCGAUUCGCAGGGCCCUACAUAAUAAUUUAUACACAAUAAUAGUUGUAAAAAAACUGUUAAAAAAGGUGCCCCAAGAAGUCCUAACGAUCUUGUCACAGAGUACCGCGGAAGUGCAUUUAACCAGAAAGUUCACACCUCCUUUCUUACAGUGACGCUGUAUAUGUCUAAAGCUCGUUUCGAACCUGGAUAUAUAUAUAUAU